UCUCCGUAGGUGAACCUGCGGAGGGAUCAUUACUGAGUUGUCAAGGGUUUCGAUGCCGUCAGCCAAUUCUUGCAUGCAUGUCCUCGCCCUAACAAUCAUCUUCCAAGCACCUGUGCACAUUUUUGAGGGAGUCUGGAGCUGGUUGCCGCUCUUGGGUGAUUUUCCCUCAUUCCCUUAAAUCAUUAUACUCUAUUAACAAUGUUGAACGCGCUCCGUGCCGCACUGCUAUUAAAAUAAUACAACUUUUAACAACGGAUCUCACGGCUCUAGCACCGUUGA
This 279-nucleotide unclassified non-coding RNA is filed under the name plant metagenome. RNAcentral's name for it is "partial contains small subunit ribosomal RNA, internal transcribed spacer 1, and 5.8S ribosomal RNA". The record is from RNAcentral.